CUCGUAGGCGGUUCGUCGCGUCCGGUGUGAAAGUCCAUCGCUUAACGGUGGAUCCGCGCCGGGUACGGGCGGGCUUGAGUGCGGUAGGGGAGACUGGAAUUCCCGGUGUAACGGUGGAAUGUGUAGAUAUCGGGAAGAACACCAAUGGCGAAGGCAGGUCUCUGGGCCGUUACUGACGCUGAGGAGCGAAAGCGUGGGGGAGCGAACA
RNAcentral lists this ribosomal RNA (208 nucleotides) under uncultured bacterium. Its description in RNAcentral is "partial 16S ribosomal RNA". It matches the Rfam family "Bacterial small subunit ribosomal RNA", at positions 568 to 774 of the family's 1533-position model. The record is from RNAcentral.